GUUAUUUCUGAGCCAUGAUCAAACUCUGGUGAGUAACGCGUACACGACCUGCCCUUUACUGGGGGAUAGCCUUGGGAAACUGAGAUUAAUACCCCAUGGUAUUAUUAUGCUGCACGGUAUAAUAAUUAAAGCUGAGGCGGUAAAGGAUGGGUGUGCGUCUGAUUAGCUAGUUGGCAGGGUAACGGCCUACCAAGGCGAUGAUCAGUAGGGGGCGUGAGAGCGUGACCCCCCACACGGGUACUGAGACACGGACCCGACUCCUACGGGAGGCAGCAGUAAGGAAUAUUGGUCAAUGGAGGGAACUCUGAACCAGCCAUCCCGCGUGCAGGAUGAAGGGGCUCUGCCCUGUAAACUGCUUUUGAAUGGGACGAAAAAGCCUCACUUGUGAGGAACUGACGGUACCAUUAGAAUAAGCACCGGCUAACUCCGUGCCAGCAGCCGCGGUAAUACGGAGGGUGCAAGCGUUAUCC
RNAcentral lists this ribosomal RNA (470 nucleotides) under uncultured bacterium. RNAcentral describes it as "bacterial SSU rRNA". It matches the Rfam family "Bacterial small subunit ribosomal RNA", at positions 78 to 546 of the family's 1533-position model. The record is from RNAcentral.